Molecule: ribosomal RNA, 391 nt
Filed under: Diplonema sp. ATCC 50224
Lineage: Eukaryota; Euglenozoa; Diplonemea; Diplonemida; Diplonemidae
Description: partial small subunit ribosomal RNA
Source: RNAcentral
UGCAGUGUUGUAGACUUAGUACUAUUGUGGUUGUGGGUGUUGUUGUUGUGUGUUGGUGGUGUGUUGUUGUGGUGUGGUUGGUUGGGGUGUGUUUGGGUGCCAGCUCAAGUGCGGUUAACCUCUUGUGGUUGGUGUAUAUUUGUACAUCCUACUGCAAGCGGUGCUCUUGAAUGGUGCUCAUGUGCUUCUGCUGCAUUGUGUAUGUUGUACUUCAUUUGUACAUCAUCACACAUUAGCAGCAUAUACUUUGAAGCAUAUGAUCGCUGUAGCCUUGCUACUAGCUUCGACACUGCCUGCGUCGACCUUAGUAAGUCUGUUGUGACUUGUUGUCCCACAGUAUGCUAAGUGGCAGCAUGACUAUGCGCGAUACAUGUGUCAGCGCUAGUUUUUU